GGCACUGUGGCGGAGUGGUUAACGCGUUGGCCUGCUAAGCCAAUUCCCUCUGGGAGCAAGGGUUCGAAUCCCUUCGGUGUCG
This 82-nucleotide transfer RNA is filed under the name Edhazardia aedis USNM 41457. It matches the Rfam family "tRNA". Rfam says of the family: Transfer RNA (tRNA) molecules are approximately 80 nucleotides in length. Their secondary structure includes four short double-helical elements and three loops (D, anti-codon, and T loops). Further hydrogen bonds mediate the characteristic L-shaped molecular structure. tRNAs have two regions of fundamental functional importance: the anti-codon, which is responsible for specific mRNA codon recognition, and the 3' end, to which the tRNAs corresponding amino acid is attached (by aminoacyl-tRNA synthetases). tRNAs cope with the degeneracy of the genetic code in two manners: having more than one tRNA (with a specific anti-codon) for a particular amino acid; and 'wobble' base-pairing, i.e. permitting non-standard base-pairing at the 3rd anti-codon position. Lineage: Eukaryota; Fungi; Microsporidia; Culicosporidae. The record is from Rfam by way of RNAcentral.